UGCUUGCAGGCUUAGUGGUUAGCGCUGUUGCCUCGCGCUUCAAGGGUUGCGGGUUCGAAUCCCGCAUCAGCUC
Pangasianodon gigas (Mekong giant catfish) is the source of this 73-nucleotide non-coding RNA. Lineage: Eukaryota; Metazoa; Chordata; Actinopteri; Siluriformes; Pangasiidae. The record is from the annotation of a GenBank genome assembly.